GCGUUUUUAGUUUAAUGGAUAAAACAUCAAUCUUCUAAAUUGAAUAUCGGAGGUUCAAUUCCUUCAAAACGCA
RNAcentral lists this transfer RNA (73 nucleotides) under Mimica arnoldii. RNAcentral's name for it is "tRNA-Arg". It matches the Rfam family "tRNA". From Rfam's summary of the family: Transfer RNA (tRNA) molecules are approximately 80 nucleotides in length. Their secondary structure includes four short double-helical elements and three loops (D, anti-codon, and T loops). The record is from RNAcentral. Lineage: Eukaryota; Rhodophyta; Florideophyceae; Gigartinales; Solieriaceae.